AUUGACCAUUCCAGGAAUCUCAAGGAUUGUAGCAGCUCUUCAGCAGUGUGUCUAUUGAGUCCUGUGACCCAUUCAUAGACGAGACAGCUGAGGUCAUCUACUCUAUCGAGAACCAGCACAUCAAUCCAGUCAGUCUGACAGACCUGGUUGUCAUUCUGAUUAGCAUCAUGUACCAGCACCCCAAGCCUCCUCACAGUGACUCGUUACCUGCAGGUGUGGUUCACGUUGCCUCUCCCAUCCCUUGACUCACUACAAAGCCUUUAUUUACACAUGCUGCCCAGCUUCCGAUUAAGAUUAUUAAUUAACUAUGAAAGAAGGUGUAACGGAUACUGUAGUAUGUGUCUUAGUUUUUAUGACAGCCCUUUAUCUCGAUAUAGUGUUCUAGAGUACACCCACUUUAAUUCUGUCAGACCUUUUGUCUCGACUCUAGAGAACACUGUGAUACUCACUGAGAUGAGACGUAACAAAAUCACUGAGAUUCACUGGCGUGCCAUAACCUUGUAUUGAGCCAUUAAACAUUGUCUCAGUUGGUGACAGCAACGCCUCUUUUAUUUCCCCUUCACUUUCUUGACCAACACUACACUAUCUUUAUUCCAGUCACCAGAUCAAUAAUAAUGUAC
Molecule: long non-coding RNA, 620 nt
Filed under: Salmo salar (Atlantic salmon)
Lineage: Eukaryota; Metazoa; Chordata; Actinopteri; Salmoniformes; Salmonidae
Description: lncRNA (ENSSSAG00000090771.1)
Source: RNAcentral